This 248-nucleotide long non-coding RNA is filed under the name Vitis vinifera (wine grape). Its description in RNAcentral is "long non-coding RNA (VVIN_LNC004671)". Lineage: Eukaryota; Viridiplantae; Streptophyta; Magnoliopsida; Vitales; Vitaceae. The record is from RNAcentral.
CUCACGAGUGCAAAGAAUAUGAACACUAGAGUGAAAACAAAAGUGUGAAUAGUGAGUGGAAUGAAGUGAACUCUACCGAAGAACAAAGGAACACUAGUAAACACAAACUCAAACCAACAAAUGAACAAAAGGGCCUUAAUCCAACAAGAAAGAGGACUCUCUCAAAGUGUCUUAAGAGCAGCACUAAAAACCUAAACUCCCUCUAAGUCGUCUCCAAAAGUGACUCGAAGAUCAAUGUCAAAGAUGAG